GGAAGCGUGCCAGAGUGGUCGAAUGGGACGGUCUUGAAAACCGUAGUCCCGCAAAACGGGACCAGGGGUUCGAAUCCUCUCGCUUCCG
Molecule: transfer RNA, 88 nt
Filed under: Candidatus Falkowbacteria bacterium RBG_13_39_14
Lineage: Bacteria; Candidatus Falkowiibacteriota
Also listed under: 1 other name
Description: tRNA-Ser
Rfam family: tRNA
About the family: Transfer RNA (tRNA) molecules are approximately 80 nucleotides in length. Their secondary structure includes four short double-helical elements and three loops (D, anti-codon, and T loops).
Source: RNAcentral